Molecule: ribosomal RNA, 320 nt
Filed under: uncultured eukaryote
Lineage: Eukaryota
Description: partial 18S ribosomal RNA
Rfam family: Eukaryotic small subunit ribosomal RNA
Source: RNAcentral
CCCCUAGAUGUUCUGGACCGCACGCGCGCUACACUGAACAGUUCAACAAGUCUUAACCUUGGCCGAUAGGUCUGGGUAAUCUUUGAACGCUGUUCGUGAUUGGGAUAGACCUUUGCAAUUAUGGGUCUUCAACGAGGAAUUCCUAGUAAACGCAAGUCAUCAGCUUGCAUUGAUUACGUCCCUGCCCUUUGUACACACCGCCCGUCGCACCUACCGAUUGAAUGGUCCGGUGAAAUCUCGGGACGGCGGCUUGGUCGCUUGCGUCCGACUGCUGAAACUUGAUUAAACCAUAUCAUUUAGAGGAAGGUGAANUCGUAACA